Molecule: ribosomal RNA, 407 nt
Filed under: uncultured bacterium
Lineage: Bacteria
Description: partial 16S ribosomal RNA
Rfam family: Bacterial small subunit ribosomal RNA
Source: RNAcentral
AUUGAACGCUGGCGGCAGGCCUAACACAUGCAAGUCGAGCGGAGCGGCGGACGGGUGAGUAAUGCCUAGGAAUCUGCCUGGUAGUGGGGGAUAACGUCCGGAAACGGGCGCUAAUACCGCAUACUAUCAGAUGAGCCGAGGUCGGAUUAGCUAGUUGGUGGGGUAAAGGCCUACCAAGGCGACGAUCCGUAACGGGUCUGAGAGGAUGAUCAGUCAAACUGGAACUGGGAACCGGUCCAGACUCCUAGGGAAGGAGGCAGUGGGAAAUAUUGGACAAUGGGCGAAAGCCUGAUCCGGCCAUGCCGCGUGUGUGAGGAGGGUCUUCGGAUUGUAAAGCACUUUAAGUUGGGAGGCGGUACCAACAGAGUAAGCACCGGCUAACUUCGUGCCAGCCGCCGCGGUAAUAC